RNAcentral lists this ribosomal RNA (237 nucleotides) under uncultured Actinomycetales bacterium. RNAcentral's name for it is "partial 16S ribosomal RNA". It matches the Rfam family "Bacterial small subunit ribosomal RNA", at positions 96 to 334 of the family's 1533-position model. The record is from RNAcentral. Lineage: Bacteria; Bacillati; Actinomycetota; Actinomycetes; Actinomycetales.
UGGCGAACGGGUGAGUAACACGUGAGCAACCUGCCCUUGACUUUGGGAUAACUUCAGGAAACUGGGGCUAAUACCGGAUAGGAGCUCCUGCUGCAUGGUGGGGGUUGGAAAGUUUCGGCGGUUGGGGAUGGACUCGCGGCUUAUCAGCUUGUUGGUGGGGUAGUGGCUUACCAAGGCUUUGACGGGUAGCCGGCCUGAGAGGGUGACCGGCCACAUUGGGACUGAGAUACGGCCCAG